GAUUUCUGAACAGUCUGCUUCUAGCCGGCCACGGUUUCGUGUGUUAGUGCAGGAAAGCGUUGUUCAUCCUUCCAUCAACUGCUACUGUUCCUCUUCAUUGCGGGAUUGUUGGCAGGGUGGAUCUUUUACUUUGAAAAAAUUAGAGUGUUUCAAGCAGGCUUAAUGCUAUGAAUACAUUAGCAUGGAAUAAUAAUUUAGGACUUCGGUUCUAUUUUGUUGGUUUCUAGGACUGAAGUAAUGAUUGAUAGGGAUAGUUGGGGGUGCUAGUAUUCAGCGGCCAGAGGUGAAAUUCUCGGAUUCGCUGAAGACUAACUUAUGCGAAAGCAUU
Molecule: ribosomal RNA, 328 nt
Filed under: Sandonidae sp.
Lineage: Eukaryota; Cercozoa; Glissomonadida; Sandonidae
Also listed under: 2 other names
Description: SSU rRNA
Rfam family: Eukaryotic small subunit ribosomal RNA
Source: RNAcentral